UGGAGUAUCGCCAAGCGGUAAGGCACUGGGUUUUGAUCCCAGCAUKCCUAGGUUCGAAUCCUAGUACWCCAGCCA
RNAcentral lists this transfer RNA (75 nucleotides) under Histophilus somni. Its description in RNAcentral is "tRNA-Gln". The record is from RNAcentral. Lineage: Bacteria; Pseudomonadati; Pseudomonadota; Gammaproteobacteria; Pasteurellales; Pasteurellaceae.